RNAcentral lists this ribosomal RNA (246 nucleotides) under uncultured Actinomycetales bacterium. Its description in RNAcentral is "partial 16S ribosomal RNA". It matches the Rfam family "Bacterial small subunit ribosomal RNA", at positions 796 to 1041 of the family's 1533-position model. The record is from RNAcentral. Lineage: Bacteria; Bacillati; Actinomycetota; Actinomycetes; Actinomycetales.
CACGCUGUAAACGGUGGGUACUAGGUGUGGGAUCCUUUCCGUGGGUUCUGUGCCGUAGCUAACGCAUUAAGUACCCCGCCUGGGGAGUACGGCCGCAAGGCUAAAACUCAAAGGAAUUGACGGGGACCCGCACAAGCGGCGGAGCAUGCGGAUUAAUUCGAUGCAACGCGAAGAACCUUACCAAGGCUUGACAUGCACCGGUACAGUGUAGAGAUAUGCUGGCCUUUUGGGCUGGUGUGCAGGUGG